Long non-coding RNA from Perca fluviatilis (European perch), 993 nucleotides. RefSeq lists it as uncharacterized. The transcript has 4 exons. The record is from RefSeq and is a predicted model, not a curated record. Lineage: Eukaryota; Metazoa; Chordata; Actinopteri; Perciformes; Percidae.
CAGACAGACAGACUGACAGACUGCAAAAUACACUUCCAUACAUUGAUUGAACAUUAACAGAUCUUGUUCUUCUCCCCUAUAGCGAUUGAAUAUGGAGGACUUUGUUAAACUAAAGUUAACAGAACGGCAACUUCUUGAGCUGAUUGACACUUUUGCAGAUUGUGCAGGACUUCGAGGUUCUUCAUAAAGAGGCAUCAGACUAAAUCUUUGACCUGGAGGAGGUUCAGCGAUAAGCUUGUUCAUGCGGCCCAGUGGGAGGGGUAGAAGCUCCACGUGCAGACAGAGUCUUUGUCUCAAGGCUCCAAAGACUACAUUGACCUGAUGGUUCUGCCAAGCCUGAUUCCACCUGCAGUCUUCAGGAUGGGCCGAAAGACCGUGAGGACUACAGUGUCUGACGCCAUGAAGGCCUUCAUCGAUCUUAAGCCUGUCGGAGCCAACAUGGUGGAGUACCUUCAGGCAGCAGAGCAGACCAGGCCAUACCCCUGCACCCUGGUGUUGGGAGGCGAGGACUGCUGCUCUCAGGCAUUCACCGUUCCCAGUGGGCCGGCCCUGGAGCACGACAGCGUUGUCCAAGCUGUACAUGUUUGUGUCAAAUGUUUUUAUGUGUUUGAUAUCAAUUUCCCAAAGCAGUGGUUCUCUGCUUAGCAGUUCCUCCAGAAAGAAUGGGGGGGUGGUAGUAAUGUAGCCCCAUGCGUUUGUUUUUUGGAAAUGCUCAUGCGAUAAGGGAAUUCUCUCUCUCUCUGUCUCUCUUUCUCUGUCUCUCUCUAAUAUUUAGGAGGAAUAUUAGGAGGAAAUUAAUUAUUGUUAAUUGUUGCUUGGUAUUAGUCCAGUUAUUUGAUACUCAUUUUGAAAUGAGGUAGGGAUAAUGUGGCCCCAUGCAUUUCUUCUUUGGAAACGCUCAUGUGAUAAGGGAAUUGGACUUGUUAUUGUUAUUCCAGUUUUUCUCUUUAAAUGAGUAAAUUAAAUAUUGUUCAAUAAAAUCAGUGACAUUAA